UUUUCACCAAAAUUUUUGUGAGUACCAUCUGCUCAAUGAAUUUUUAAUAGCCGCGGUAUCUUAACCGUGCUAAGGUAGCAUAAUCAUUAGCCCCCUAAUUAGGGGCUCGUAUGAACGAUGAAACAUUUCAGACACUAUUUUAAAUAAUUUGUUUUAACUUAAACUAAGAAUAAAAAUGUUCUUAUUAACUAAAUAGACGAUAAGACCCUUUUGAACUUUACUCAAGUUUGGCUGGGGCAGCCUAAAAAUAAUUGUCUUUUUACGAAUAUGUUAAAUAAAAGACCCUUUACAAAAGACCCGAUGAACAAGUUACCAUAGGGAUAACAGCGUAAUAUCUUUCUUAAGCUCUUAUAUAAAAAGAAGUUUGCGACCUCGAUGUUGAAUUAGUUUAGCUUAAAAGUGCAAUAACUUUAAAAGUAAGUCUGUUCGACUUUUAAUAUUCUACAU
RNAcentral lists this ribosomal RNA (447 nucleotides) under Telaprocera joanae. Its description in RNAcentral is "partial 16S large subunit ribosomal RNA". It matches the Rfam family "Bacterial large subunit ribosomal RNA", at positions 1830 to 2601 of the family's 2925-position model. Lineage: Eukaryota; Metazoa; Arthropoda; Arachnida; Araneae; Araneidae. The record is from RNAcentral.